CAGUAGCCACGGUAAUACGAAGGGUGCAAGCGUUACUCGGAAUUACUGGGCGUAAAGCGUGCGUAGGUGGUGGUUUAAGUCCGUUGUGAAAGCCCUGGGCUCAACCUGGGAAUUGCAGUGGAUACUGGGUCACUAGAGUGUGGUAGAGGAUAGUGGAAUUUCCGGUGUAGCAGUGAAAUGCGUAGAGAUCGGAAGGAACAUCUGUGGCGAAGGCGACUAUCUGGGCCAACACUGACACUGAGGCACGAAAGCGUGGGGAGCAAACAGGAUUAGAUACCCGAGUAGUCCCUGUCCCUUAUAC
RNAcentral lists this ribosomal RNA (301 nucleotides) under uncultured bacterium. Its description in RNAcentral is "partial 16S ribosomal RNA". It matches the Rfam family "Bacterial small subunit ribosomal RNA", at positions 509 to 807 of the family's 1533-position model. The record is from RNAcentral.